Long non-coding RNA from Acipenser ruthenus (sterlet), 312 nucleotides. RefSeq lists it as uncharacterized. The transcript has 3 exons. Lineage: Eukaryota; Metazoa; Chordata; Actinopteri; Acipenseriformes; Acipenseridae. The record is from RefSeq and is a predicted model, not a curated record.
UGAAAGGCAUCUGAGAAGAAUUCUUAAAGCACUGGGAUUGAGGCGAAGAAGUGAUCACAGACCACUGCAUGCAAUACGUCAGGCUAUAGAGAAUGAACUUAAACAUUGGUCACCAGCCAAAGGUAUUCGAGCAAUGCACAGGAGAAUAAGGGACGGAAAGGGUCUCCGGCCUUGCUACAGAGAUGAUGUCCAUGAAUUCAUGAGAGAGCUGGAUGGUAGCGGUCUUGUGAGACGUCGUGCAGGGAGAAAAAGAAUAGAAAGGAGGAAUUACUUUAGUCACGGACCCAAUGACAGCUGGCAUAUAGAUGGUAA